RNAcentral lists this long non-coding RNA (1200 nucleotides) under Prunus persica (peach). RNAcentral's name for it is "long non-coding RNA (PPER_LNC008061)". The record is from RNAcentral. Lineage: Eukaryota; Viridiplantae; Streptophyta; Magnoliopsida; Rosales; Rosaceae.
AAUAUUCAAAAUGUACACAUAAAUUAACAAAGUACAAUAAUAAAAUCCUAAUACAAGCCUAUUGUGGUAGUAGUGGAGGAGGAUAUGUUUUGAUAGCAUCCUAAUCAUCAACUUUAGCGUCGAAGUGUCAACGGUUCCCUACAAAAAAACAAAUAUGGUCAAAUAACAAAAAAAAAAAAAAAUUGGCAUAAUCUCCCCUAAAUUUGUUAUACCACAAAUCCAACCCAAACUCCAAUCCUCACCCUAUACUCAACCCCAAACCCCACACAAACUCAAAACUAACUCCAAAAACACAUAUUAAUAAAUAAAAAAUUAAAAUUUGGAGAGAAUAUACCUUUUGGUAAGAUUGAGAGUGAGUGAGAAUGAGAGGGAGAAGUGAGUGUGAGAGAAUUAGAGAAUAUAAUGAGAGAGAGAGAGAGAGAGAGAGAGAUGAGUGAGUGAGAGAUAGUGAAAAGAGAUAUGAGAGAGUGAGAGAUACUGAAGAGAGAGAUGAGAGAUUAAAUGAGAGGAGUGAGUGUGAGAGAAAGAGUGGGAUUUGGGGAAAGGGAAAGAGAGAGGAGAGGUAAGAGUAGAGAAAGACAUUGAGAAAAUGGUGGAGGAGUUAUUUUGGUUUUAAAAACCGUAUCAUUUUGCGCGACGAAAAAUAUAUAUUAGUGGCACAAAGUUUUGCUCGACGAAAAAUAUUGGAUUAUUGGUCGCGCAAAGUUUUGCGCGAUGAAAAAUAUUGGUAGCGCAAAGUCCAAAAAAAAUUAAAAAAAAUUUUCUUCCUACGUCUCAUUUUUGGUACCUGCGCAAAUUUUUAAAGUUUUCCGCGACGAAAAAUAUUGGUCGCGCAAAGUCUAAAAAAAAAAUUUCCCAUGUCUCAUUUUUGGUACCCACCCAAAUUUUUAAAGUUUUGCGCAACGAAAAAUAUUCGAAUAUUGAUAGCACAAAGUUUUGCGUGACGAAAAAAAUUGGUUGCUCUAAGUCUUUAAAAAAAAAAUAAUUAAUUUUCCCAAGUCCCAUUUUUGGUACCCACCCAAAUUUUAAAAGUUUUGCGUGACAAAAAUUAUUCGAAUAUUGGUCACGCAAAGUCUAAAAAAAAUGUUAAAGUUUUGUGUAUAUAUAUUAUACACACACACACCAUUCAACGAUCCAACCGUUAAACUUGUUUGUAUAUACUUCAAGAUCGUAUACCCCAAAAAAUCGUAAACAACAAAC